RNAcentral lists this ribosomal RNA (347 nucleotides) under Pseudo-nitzschia delicatissima. RNAcentral's name for it is "LSU rRNA". It matches the Rfam family "Eukaryotic large subunit ribosomal RNA", at positions 185 to 544 of the family's 3401-position model. The record is from RNAcentral. Lineage: Eukaryota; Bacillariophyta; Bacillariophyceae; Bacillariales; Bacillariaceae.
GUUCCUUGGAAAAGGACAGCUGAGAGGGUGAGACUCCCGUCCGCCUGGUAGAAUGAGUCUUUGUCAACGAGUCGAGUUGUUUGGGAUUGCAGCUCUAAUUUGGUGGUAAAUUCCAUCUAAAGCUAAAUAUUGGUGGGAGACCGAUAGCGUACAAGUACCGUGAGGGAAAGAUGCAAAGAACUUUGAAAAGAGAGUUAAAGAGUACCUGAAAUUGCUGAAACGGAAGCGAAGGAAACCAGUGUUUGUUGGUUCAUAUUUCCCUGGCCACUUGUGGUUUGGGCGCUGUGAGCUUGCGUGGGUUUGCUUUGGUUGAUCCCUUUGGAAGAGCGCAGUCAGAGUUGAUGUCU